Molecule: ribosomal RNA, 301 nt
Filed under: uncultured bacterium
Lineage: Bacteria
Description: partial 16S ribosomal RNA
Rfam family: Bacterial small subunit ribosomal RNA
Source: RNAcentral
CAGUCGCCGCGGUAAUACGUAGGUCCCGAGCGUUGUCCGGAUUUAUUGGGCGUAAAGCGAGCGCAGGCGGUUAGAUAAGUCUGAAGUUAAAGGCUGUGGCCUAACCAUAGUACGCUUUGGAAACUGUUUAACUUGAGUGCAAGAGGGGAGAGUGGAAUUCCAUGUGUAGCGGUGAAAUGCGUAGAUAUAUGGAGGAACACCGGUGGCGAAAGCGGCUCUCUGGCUUGUAACUGACGCUGAGGCUCGAAAGCGUGGGGAGCAAACAGGAUUAGAUACCCCGGUAGUCCCUGUCUCUUAUACA